This 254-nucleotide ribosomal RNA is filed under the name uncultured bacterium. Its description in RNAcentral is "partial 16S ribosomal RNA". It matches the Rfam family "Bacterial small subunit ribosomal RNA", at positions 524 to 776 of the family's 1533-position model. The record is from RNAcentral.
UACGUAGGGAGCGAGCGUUGUCCGGAUUUAUUGGGCGUAAAGAGCGCGUAGGCGGCUUGGUAAGCCGGAUGUGAAACCUCCAAGCUUAACUUGGAGCGGCCAUUCGGAACUGCCAUGGCUAGAGUCUGGUAGGGGAACACGGAAUACCUGGUGUAGCGGUGAAAUGCUUAGAUAUCAGGUGGAACACCAGUGGCGAAGGCGGUGUUCUGGGCCAGUACUGACGCUGAGACGCGAAAGCGUGGGGAGCAAACAGG